CAGCUAUGCUGCCAGAGUGCGCUAAAGGUUUAUAAGAGCAAGAAAAGAUGAAUAAAUCUCCGGAGUUGGUAUCAUUUGAGGAUGUGGCUGUGGACUUCACCUGGGAGGAGUGGCAGGACCUGAAUGAUGCUCAGAGGACUUUGUAUAGGGAUGUGAUGCUGGAGACCUACAACAACCUGGUGUCACUGAAUGUCCAGAUAAAUGACCUCAUGAGAAGGAACCAAGAAAGUCAUGGUAGAUGCUUGCAGCAAGUUGUAAUCAGAAACAG
Long non-coding RNA from Cynocephalus volans (Philippine flying lemur), 268 nucleotides. RefSeq lists it as uncharacterized. The record is from RefSeq and is a predicted model, not a curated record. The transcript is spliced from 3 exons. NCBI's taxonomy places the organism in Eukaryota, Metazoa, Chordata, Mammalia, Dermoptera, Cynocephalidae.